UACGAAGGGGGCAAGCGUUGUUCGGAAUUACUGGGCGUAAAGAGCGCGUAGGUGGUUUGUCAAGUGAGUUGUGAAAUAUCUGGGCUCAACCUGGGGAUGUCAACUCAAACAGGCGAACUAGAGUACAGUAGAGGGUCGUGGAAUUCCCGGUGUAGCGGUGAAAUGCGUAGAGAUCGGAAGGAACAUCAGUGGCGAAGGCGGCGACCUGGACUGAAACUGACACUGAGGCGCGAAAGCGUGGGGAGCAAACAGG
RNAcentral lists this ribosomal RNA (253 nucleotides) under uncultured bacterium. RNAcentral's name for it is "partial 16S ribosomal RNA". It matches the Rfam family "Bacterial small subunit ribosomal RNA", at positions 524 to 776 of the family's 1533-position model. The record is from RNAcentral.